CGCAAUGGACGAAAGUCUGACGGAGCAACGCCGCGUGAGUGAUGACGGCCUUCGGGUUGUAAAGCUCUGUUAAUCGGGACGAAAGGCCUUCUUGCGAAUAGUUAGAAGGAUUGACGGUACCGGAAUAGAAAGCCACGGCUAACUACGUGCCAGCAGCCGCGGUAAUACGUAGGUGGCAAGCGUUGUCCGGAAUUAUUGGGCGUAAAGCGCGCGCAGGCGGAUAGGUCAGUCUGUCUUAAAAGUUCGGGGCUUAACCCCGUGAUGGGAUGGAAACUGCCAAUCUAGAGUAUCGGAGAGGAAAGUGGAAUUCCUAGUGUAGCGGUGAAAUGCGUAGAUAUUAGGAAGAACACCAGUGGCGAAGGCGACUUUCUGGACGAAAACUGACGCUGAGGCGCGAAAGCCAGGGGAGCGAACGGGAUUAGAUACCCCGGUAGUCCUGGCCGUAAACGAUGGGUACUAGGUGUAGGAGGUAUCGACCCCUUCUGUGCCGGAGUUAACGCCAUAAGUACCCCGCCUGGGGAGUACGACCGCAAGGUUGAAACUCAAAGGAAUUGACGGGGGCCCGCACAAGCGGUGGAGUAUGUGGUU
This 588-nucleotide ribosomal RNA is filed under the name Veillonella dispar. RNAcentral's name for it is "bacterial SSU rRNA". It matches the Rfam family "Bacterial small subunit ribosomal RNA", at positions 367 to 946 of the family's 1533-position model. The record is from RNAcentral. Lineage: Bacteria; Bacillati; Bacillota; Negativicutes; Veillonellales; Veillonellaceae.